This 282-nucleotide long non-coding RNA is filed under the name Gossypium raimondii (Peruvian cotton). RNAcentral's name for it is "long non-coding RNA (GRAI_LNC000790)". The record is from RNAcentral. Lineage: Eukaryota; Viridiplantae; Streptophyta; Magnoliopsida; Malvales; Malvaceae.
UGGUUUUUAAAGAACUUCUAUUUCCUAUUUUAAAUUUUGUUUUAUUUUUUUCGUUUAUUUUAUUUUUUAUUAAUCUUAGUUGCGUUUAGUUUUCCCAUAGCAGGUGUAGAUACCAUGGAUUGACAGAACCAAAAAAAGAGUCAAAGAACCCAUCAACUAGGCUCUAUGUCACGACUUCCUAGACAAAACACACCUUGCAAUGUUAAAGGCCCCAUUUCAUCUGAAUAUUUUUAGACGUUCUAUCAUCCAUAAUCAACACUUGUUCGUUUUAAUUUAUUUUCU